GAUGAACGCUGGCGGCGUGCCUAAUACAUGCAAGUCGAGCGAACAGACGAGGAGCUUGCUCCUCUAACGUUAGCGGCGGACGGGUGAGUAACACGUGGAUAACCUACCUAUAAGACUGGGAUAACUUCGGGAAACCGGAGCUAAUACCGGAUAAUAUAUUGAACCGCAUGGUUCAAUAGUGAAAGACGUGUUUGCUGUUGCUUAUAGAUGGAUCCGCGCCGCAUUAGCUAGUUGGUAAGGUAACGGCUUACCAAGGCAACGAUGCGUAGCCGACCUGAGAGGGUGAUCGGCCACACUGGAACUGAGACACGGUCCAGACUCCUACGGGAGGCAGCAGUAGGGAAUCUUCCGCAAUGGGCGAAAGCCUGACGGAGCAACGCCGCGUGAGUGAUGAAGGUCUUCGGAUCGUAAAACUCUGUUAUUAGGGAAGAACAAAUGUGUAAGUAACUAUGAACGUCUUGACGGUACCUAAUCAGAAAGCCACGGCUAACUACGUG
This 497-nucleotide ribosomal RNA is filed under the name uncultured bacterium. RNAcentral describes it as "partial 16S ribosomal RNA". It matches the Rfam family "Bacterial small subunit ribosomal RNA", at positions 28 to 507 of the family's 1533-position model. The record is from RNAcentral.